GCCAUGUAAGUUACUUUUGAAAUAUAAUUUUAUUAUAUUUUGUUUUGUUUUUAUAUGAUUCAAUUUCUUUUCUUUUUUGUAUAUAAAUGUUAUUACCAUUUAUUAGUUAAUCAAAUUUGGGUUUAGGUGUAUUAGAUCAUUUGCAUAGUUUUUUUAAUUUUUUGUUUUGUUUAAUUAUUAUUAUUAUUUUUAAUUUAGUUAUUAAACCAUUUU
This 213-nucleotide long non-coding RNA is filed under the name Lathyrus oleraceus (garden pea). Its description in RNAcentral is "Pisum sativum (pea) long non-coding RNA (PSAT_LNC031480)". Lineage: Eukaryota; Viridiplantae; Streptophyta; Magnoliopsida; Fabales; Fabaceae. The record is from RNAcentral.